CCUCCUGGCGCCUCGGCCCGCUCCCCCACCCCCCACCUCCGUGCUCGCCCCCCUCACCCCGUGGGCUCCUCUUCCCGAGCCCUCCACUCUCUCUCCUCAGCCCUUGGGGCCGAGCUCGUCCCAAGCCCCUGCCCCAGGAGGCUCCAGACACUGCAACGGGCUGGCGAGCUCCAGGCGGCCGACCUCGGGGUCUCAGGCGGGACCCAGCUGGACCAGGUUGGACCCUUUUGUGUGGCUGAAUAAAGUAGUCCAUGAGAGGUGCUGCUGAAGAACACCCGGGGAGGUGACCAGACUACAGAAUUUCCCACUGGAGAAGGAAGGUAAAAGCCAAGUGAAUGAACACAGCAACCGCUCCUGGAAGCUUCUGGAGGUUGGGAGAAAGAGAGGGACGAGAAGGAAAGGAGAGCAAGAAGGAGGCAGGGCCUGAUGCCCGAAGCCAGGGUGCACGUCCCUGGGCAGGCAGGAUGGAGGCCGCAGGGGUACCAGGAGGGUGGUGGAGGACAGGGGAAGGGUCCCUGGGGUACUUGCCCCAGAUCUGGAGGCCUCUUGCUUCCAGAGAACAAGCCCUGUCCAGCAUUCUCUGGAGCUGGGAGCGAGUGCUUCUUUGGGGCGGUUUGAGCCCUGAUGGGCACCAGGCGGGGUUUGCGCUUUGCUGGCAGAGAAACCCGUGUCCUGGAGAACCUGGGGCUGGGGGCGCUGCGGAGCUCCGAGUCCCAGGAGGGCCGAUGCUGGUCCUCCGUGCUGCUUAAUGAGUCCCUGACUGCUGCGAGCCCCAUCUGCGUGGAGGCCUUCCAGGCUGACCAGCGAGCCCUGCACAAGCUUCCGGAAGCCACUUCUGUCCCAAGUUGCAAGUGGGAUCGAACGUGCCUCUUUCAGCAUCCAGCCCAGCGGAGGGGAAGAGAGAGAGAGAGAGAGAGAGAGAGAGACACUCCCUCGGCCCACGCCAGAGCGGAGGGCACACGCGGCGUGCUGGCUUCUGCAUCGGCACCCCACCGGGCACUUGGCUUAUCGGUAAUUCUGUUCAACUAGGUGCCUCAUGCCGGGUAAGAUGAGCUGCAGGUUGCUGUUCCUUGUGGCUCGGGCCCGCGUCUCCACUCACUGAGGGCCUCUGAAAUCAGACGUAACGGGGCAAACUUGAGGCCUGGUGAUGCCUCCAAAAACAGCCCCAGAAGCCCUGAAAAACAGGGGGGCUUUUUACCGCAGGCGCCCCAAGGGAGAGGCGGGGACGUGACACAGAGGCAUUCCUGAAAAUCCUCUCAGGAAAACCUUCCUUCCCCCAGAGAUUCUCCCCACACACAGCCCUCUCACUGAAGCAGUGCUCCACCCCCACCCCCAGCUCCUCCCUCCCUGGGCCUUAAGGCUCAGACACUGGACCCUGACGGGGGGGGGGGGCCCUCUGUGUGCCCCCCACAGCCCCUAGAGACAUAUUCUCUCCCUCCUUCUCUCCAGGAAACCAGCCCUCCCUGAGGGUCUCUGCCUCCCGGAGUAACGAGGGAAAGCUCGUCACAGAAAAUGUCAGCUCAUCAGUACGGGAGGAAUGGAAGAAUUAGGAGCUCUGCAUUCUGCACCCCUCAGAUAACUGAGCGGGACAAGGGGACGUGAAAGUGUGUCAAUCACACAGUGCCACCCGGGAAAGAAAAAACACCCUCCACUUUCAUCGGAGAUGUCUGGCUGUCAGCGCCUUCAUGGGGAUUCAAACUCAGCAUCACCCAUGCUGGGUCAGUCUGACGUUAGGGGUCGAAAACUCCAGCUCACGGAAAUCGCCGACGCGUGGUCUUGCUGAAAACAUUUCAGCCCUCACGUCCAGUUUACGGGAAGGAGGAGGGACAGAGCACGCGGUAAACAACCCCAGGAGAAAGGACCAGACGGGUGCCGAGAGCCAGACCUAGCGCAUCCCUCAAACAGGGUAACGUCAGGAAAAGGGUAGGGUUGGUUCUAGGAUGAAAACAGCUAGAAAGAAGCAACGUUUCCAACAACAAGCAUGAACCUGAUCACCUAAGCAGCACGAAAGUAUUGUGAUGACAUUUCGGUAUGAACGGAGUAUCACAGACCCAUCCGUACUGCUAAUUGGGUGUGGUGACAGCACAAUGCUUAUCCGGAAGAAUGGCCUUAUUUCUAGGAGAUGAGCUGUUGAGGGUGAAAUGUCUUGAUGUCCGAAACUUGUUUUCAAAUGACUCAGCAAAGACGAUACGUGCACAGAAGGUAGAGAGGACAAAAUCAGCGACCGGAGCUGGGGAGCGGACGCGGUGGGGAGUUGUACAACGUGUUCCCCUUCUCUGGAUGUUUGAAAUUUUUUCGUAACACAAAGUUGGAGAAAAAUAAAAUGUCAGGUACCAAAUAA
Leopardus geoffroyi (Geoffroy's cat) is the source of this 2341-nucleotide long non-coding RNA. RefSeq lists it as uncharacterized. NCBI's taxonomy places the organism in Eukaryota, Metazoa, Chordata, Mammalia, Carnivora, Felidae. The transcript has 2 exons. The record is from RefSeq and is a predicted model, not a curated record.